This 235-nucleotide ribosomal RNA is filed under the name uncultured bacterium. RNAcentral describes it as "partial 16S ribosomal RNA". It matches the Rfam family "Bacterial small subunit ribosomal RNA", at positions 85 to 339 of the family's 1533-position model. The record is from RNAcentral.
AUGUGGAAGAGUGGCGAACGGGUGAGGAACACGUAAGAAUCUGCCCCUCGGUCGGGGACAACUCUUGGAAACGAGAGCUGAUACCCGAUACGCUGUGGAGUGAAAGAAUUUCGCCGAGGGAUGAUCUUGCGUCUGAUUAGCUAGUUGGUGUGGUAAAGGCAUACCAAGGCGACGAUCAGUAGCUGGUCUGAGAGGAUGAACAGCCACAUUGGAACUGAGACACGGUCCAAACUCC